UUGGUUCUAGCAGUGGUCAAUUUAGCUCAUUCUCCUACCUGUAAUCUAUGUAUCUAAUUGCUUGAUUGCUGAUAGUUAUGCUUAGGCACCAAGCAAAAUACUGUGUCAACAUUAAACUUGUUAAUUAUGAUAUGAGGGAUGAGAACUUUUGGGGUUCAGGUCUUGCUUAUCCGUGCAAACCGGGUUUGGGUUUGGGUUUGGGUUUGAUGGAAUAGUUGGGUUCCAGGUCCUUUUAGUUGCGUCAGGUUUAGGUGAAGUGAAAUUUAAGGGUGCUCCAUUUGCAUUAUAACAUGAAAAUGUUGGUAGAUUGUGUAUUUUGGAUAUAUCUAUGUCCAUCUGUUCGGUUUAAAGAAGAUUUCGUAGACCCUUUAAAUUCAUAUUGGGUAGUAUGGAUGAUUGGAAUUUUUUUUUUAGUUGAGAAAAAUGCUUCUUUUGGUAAGAAGAAACAUGAUGAAUUAAAAGUGAGUUGUUUUCUCCAUUAAUCUGACAAAGAUAAAAUGGCAACCUAUAAUAGCCUCUUGACAAAAAGGACCUUUGAGAACAAUCUUGACACUCGACAAAAAUGGACAGCUAGGUUAGGAGGAAAGAAGAAGAAGCAGAGAAGCGGAUCUUACAUGCGUGAGACUUUUAUCUUUUAUUGGGAACAUGAGUGAAAAAAAAAAAACCUUGAUAGAGGCCAAAUUCUAUCAUCUUUUACGACAAAUAUGAUUAAAAAAAUAUCUGAUCCAUUAAUCAAACUCGAGUAGAUGCACUAUCCAGUGGUCAUUAUUAUAACAGCAGGCAUUCUAAAUCGUUGAAUUAAAACCAUUACCAAAAUCUAAGACAAAUAUUUCAGAUACAAGUCAAUCUAGCUGUGUGAUCAAUCUUUUCCAAAAAAAAGGUUAUACAGAGAGAGGCAAGCAAGCGAGCAAACAUUGCCAUUACAACACAUAGAAUUUACAUUGACACACUAAUCGCUGAAUGAUAAAGGCAAGAAUAGCUGCACUUAUUUUAUGUUCUUGCACCUGAGCAAUUAUGCUAUGUAUGGUAGCACUGACAAUGUCCAUAGAUCCCUAAGGAUCCAUCCACCGAGAUCCUGUAUGCUAUGUGGCAAAUGCAAUAAAGCUUGCAGUGUGUAUCUUUGAUUUUUCUCGACAAUUGAGAGAAGAAUACGGAAAGAAGGCUCUAUUGCAUUUGUAGUCAAGCUUCAUUUCAAAUUGAUCGCUGCAGCCAUUUUCCUCAACUUCUGAGAUAUCACAGAGAAUGAAGGCCUCAAUGCUGGACCAGAAGACCAACAACUUUCCAUCAGGGACUUCCACUCAGGAUCACACCAAGUUGGAAUUUUAGGUCGUAUGGUGUUGUUUAUAAUGCCCCCUAGAAGAACAAAAUCAUACAAACAUUCCAUAUUAGCCUUAGAGAACUAAUGGAAAGUUUAAUACGUAAAUCAUGAAAAAUAAGCAAUAGAUACGUAUGUUUCAACGAGUUCUUUUUACUCAUUGGGAGUUCAAAGUCCCCUCUUUCAUAGUAACAUUUUUCUACUUCCACCUUUAGCCAAGUGUUCCAUCUCCCUAAAAUCUGUACCAUAGAUUUAGAAUCACUUUCCAGCUUGUAAAACUUAGACUGCACCAGAGUAUCCUUCAAUGCAGAAUAUUAAUAGGGUAAUUAUUUUCUUUGUCUAAAUGCUUCAUUUGGAAAAUGUUAAUACGGAAACAAAGAGCCAAGCCAACCACAUGAAAUAUUGAAAAUCAUGUUUCAAGCAGAAUUUUCAUCAUAUGUAGGUUGAUAAAUGCAAUAUAAUUUUGGAAUCAGGAUAUGUAGGUUGAUAAUAUUUAAUUCUCAUCAAAAAGACUUGCUAGAGCUGGCUCUCAACCAGCAUAGGUAGAGAUCUAAAAUGCUCAAGUAACUGCACUAAAGUACCCUUACUAGUCAAGUCUACAUAGAUGUUUCAGCUAUGAUUUUCCCAAAGGGCAAAUCCACUGCAUGAGAGUCUUGUCUAUUGAGGCUCACCCUCUUCUGAUAUAACUUUCCUAGCAAGAAAUAAACAUAGAAAUAAGAGCACCAAUUUUACCUGAACAAAACAAACACAUUGUAGUCAUGACAAAAUGACAGAUAUAGUAGAUUCUAAUGCUUUAGUAAAAGAUCCCAAUCCAUUAAAUCGUUGUUAUUAAAUAUUUUAUUUAAUAUCAUUAAAAUUCUUCAUUAUGGUUCAAACGUUAGAAAUUUGAAUUAAUUCUUGAACAUUAUGAGGUGAUAAUAAUAAAUGUUCUUGAUGGAAGAACAUCUAUAUAAACGAUGAUUUUGAUCCCUGAGCUCAACAUCUCUUUGAAGUCUUAAGGAUUUCCUACAUCAUCUAAAGCGAGAGUUUUGAGCCGAGAAAUACCAAACUAUCAAGUCGGCCAUUGUCACAUUGUGCUUUGCACAAUCUGAAUUUGUACUGUAAUAUGUAAAUUUUAAUAUAUAUUUUUAACUACCUCCACAAGUUUAACUGAAAGGUAUAGCAAUUUAUAUAAACUUAAAUAGCUAAGGCUAAGAUUUUGUUUAAACUUAAAUAGCUAAGGCUAAGAUUUUGUUUAAUGGUGCUUUCAUAUUGAUGCUGUGGCUUUCACUUUUGUUCUUGUUCAGUUAUUUUGGAGUUUGCUGAAGGAAAUAAUGUUCUUUGUUUGGUCUUUUUUGGAAUAAAUGGUGCCUUCAGGCAUAGGUGUCAAUCUUUAAAUUUGAAAUUAAAAUAGAAGUUACUACCUUAGAUCGACUUUUUGCAUCUUUUAGUUUAGCUAUAAAUUAGCUAUGGUAAAUGUUGGUGAACUCGCACACCGUGGCCGAGGAGUCAGCACGGCUUGGUUCACUAGCCGAUGUCCAGAAUCGUCGAGGCUCGGGAACACGUCCUUCUGUUGGUCGGGUUGGACCUGAAGUCGGGUUGAGCUUGAUGUCGAGCUAACAUGCUUUCGCCAAGGGUUUGAGCUGGCUCCAGAGUCGUCGUGCCCCUGCACAGGCCCGGGUCGGGGAGUUCCUGACUUCGGCCCCUCGUAGAUUAAGUGAGUGGUCCGGUGAUUUGCCUCUCAAAAGUUAUCCUUUGGCCAAAUGCUGGCCAAGGGCUUUUAUAUUAGUGCUCGAGGUUCGGCCGUAUGCAGGUUUCGCGUGGCGGUAGACUCACCGAGCGGCGGGUUCGUACGUGCAUUCGGCCGCCGCCCCGGUAUGUGCGGAACGACGCCUUACGGUGUCGUCCCGAGCUUUCCGGAGCGUGAUUUGUUGAGAGGACGCCUCCUUGCGCGUGCUUUUGUCGACGUGGGAGGAAUGUGGUCUUCGUGCUGAUUCUACAAAGAUGUGUCCGACGUGGCGCUCAACCCUCAUCCCAAGGCGCCACGUUUGUGCCUUACUGGCGGUGGAUUUGUCCUGUGGCCGAGAGCCAGAAUACGCCCUAUCAAAAGACUGGACCUGAUGGCCGAACUAUUGAACUCGGGCACAGGUUGGACUGAUGGGCCGAGUGGUUGCUCGACUAGCCGAGCUGCACGACUCGGGCAAAGACUGGACCUGAUGGCCGAGCUAUUGAACUCGGGUGAAGGUUGGACUGAUGGGCCGAGUGGCUGCUCGACUAGCCGAGCUGCACGACUCGGGCAAAGACUGGACCUGAUGGCCGAGCUAUUGAACUCGGGUGAAGGUUGGACUGAUAGGCCAACUGGCUGCUCGAUUGGUCGAGUUGCACGACUUAAGCAAAGACUGGACCUGAUAGUUGAGCUAUUGAACUCGGGCAUAGGUGGGACUAAUUGGCUGAGUGGCUGCUCGACUGGCUGAGCUACACGACUCGAGCAAAGACUGGACCUGAUGGCCAAGCUAUUGAACUCGGGAGCAAGUGGGACUGAUUGGCCGAGCUGCACGACCCGGGCAAAGACUGGACCUAAUGGCUGAGCUAUUUAACUCGGGUACAGGUGGGACUGAUUGGUCGAGUGGCUGCUCAACUGGCCGAGUUGCACGACUCAGGCAAAGACUGAACUUGAUGGUCGAGCUAUUGAACUCAGGCACAGGUUACACUGAUUGGCCGAGUGGCUGCUCGACUGGCCGAGCUGCACGACUCGGGCAAAGAUUGGACCUGAUGGCCGAGCUAUUGAACUCGGGCGCAGGUUGGACUGAUUGGCCGAGUGGCUGCUUGAUUGGUCGAGCUGCACGACUCGGGCAAAGACUGGACCUGAUGGCCGAGUUAUUGAACUCGGACGCAAGUUGGACUGAUGGGCCGAGUGGCUGCUCGACCGGCCGAGCUGCACAACUCGGGCAAAGACUGGACCUGAUGGCCAAGCUAGUGAACUCGGGCGUAGGUUGGACUGAUGGGCCAAGUGGCUGCUCGACUGGCCGAGCUGCACGACUCGGGCAAAAGAUUGGACCUGAUGGCCGAGCCAUUAAACUCGGGCGCAAGUUGGAUUGAUUGGCCGAGCGGCUGCUCGACUAGUGCCACGUGGCUGAGAUCGUCGGCACGUGAGUUCUUGCGGGAAACUUUAGGGGUCGUGUGGGUUCCGGCGGGAAGUUUUUUGUGACGCGUGAGUUUUUGGCAAGAAUUUGUAGUCGGUAAAUCUGGGGAGAUCCAGGGAGUUAUGCCAGGCUUAAAUGCUGCAACCAUAUUUUUCCUUGGGGAGCCCAAACAUCACCUCCAAGCGCCAACGUUCCCGCGAGGAAGACAAAAUCUCCCUCAAACGUUCCACGUUCUCAGUCUCCUCGUGAGAGAGAAAAGGAGGAACGUUAUUGAUGGCUCGGGAGCUCCAUCUGAUGUCGAACCCCCACCCCCAGCUACGACACAAAAAAAAUAUGGUUAGGCUCCCCGAGGAAAAAGGGAAGGCCCCGUCGCUACGAGGUGAUGUUUGGGCUACCCGAGAAAAAAGAUGGUUGCAACAUUUAAGCUCGGCAUAACUCCCCGGAUCUCCCCAGAUUUGCUGACUACAAAUUCCCCAAAUUUUCCACAUAGAGAGAGAAGGUCACUUGUAUCAGCAUUUACAAAGCUUUAGUUUUCUCAUCAUCAAUAAUUCAAUACGAUGGUAGACCCUGUAUACGGAAAGCUGCUACCAAAGACUUUACAUGCUUGUGUCAAAGGAAAACUCAACAGAGGUAAUUCUUGUAACCAGGGAUCUUUUGGAUAGCACAUGCUUCAAAUUAUCUAUGAAGGUUAUCCAAUAGGUAAUGCCACCAAAAUUCAUGGGGCAUGAGAUGAGGGCAUCAUAGAGUAUGAUAAUCAUCGAUUCAACUUGAUGACAUUGACCCAACCUAAUUCAUUUUUUGAGUCGCAUCUGGAAGAGGAAAGAUCGUUGAGUAUUUUGAACUUGGAAAAUGGAAGAAUUUUUUCGACAAAGGAAAACUCUCGUAUCUUAUCCCUUGUCUCACUUCAGUUGGAAGGCAAUAGAUGGUCGUACCAUAUAUCUCACUUCAUGCAAAAACUGCAUGCAAAAAGACAACAGUAAGAGUUUAUCUAGCAAAACCCCUUUAUUGGUCAAGUUAAUUUAUGUUGGAAGGCAUUAAAAACCUAUGAGUAUCCGUCUAGUAAGUUCUCAAUAAAAACAAGCCAUAGAAGGUCAUCAUUCUUGUAAUCGUUAGUUUAAUGAGGAAUUCAAUGUGUCAAGUCUUGAUUGACCAAAAAAAUUGGUCAUAUCAUUUAUCCCCCUUAUGCGUUACCGCAAGGGCUUCAAAUUUUUUUAUCCUAGGCGGAAAUAUCAUGUCUAAAUGGAAUGUUUUUAGAUGUGUAAGACGCUUUAGAUGAUUUUUUGUCCAAGGUGGUUGACACGUCGUGUGCAAAUGGAAUGCUUUCAGAUGUGUCGAAAGCUUUAAAAUAUGCUUUUUGUCCCAAAUGGAUGCAUCAUAUGCAAAUGGAAUGCUUUCGGAUGCUUUUGUAUUAGGCAAACAGACUACGUCUAAAUGGGAUGCUUUAAAAUGCCUUAAAAUCUUUAUAUGUUGUUUUUCUUGGGUGGAUGCAUCACACGUAAGGAUUUGGUCCGAUGUCAUAAGUAUAAAAGUGUCUUAUUUAUAUUUAUAUUGUCUCUUUAACACAAAUAAUGUAAUGUGUUGGUAAGGAGCCUCAUGCCUAAUAAAAAAAGUGAAGUGUUCAAUCCUUGAGGAGGUAAUACAAGCCUUUUUCCUUCUUUAAGGAAAUGGGACAUUGGACCAUUGGACCAGCCAACCUGGUUGCACAUUGGUCCAACCUAGUCAAGCUCAGUCCAUGUGGAGUUGGUCGGGCUAAAGUAACCUGACUUGAGCUUGUCGAAUGAUUUUGCAUGACAUAUGGCCUGGUUCAAAAUAUUUUAAUAUUUUAAUGUGCCUUUAUGUUUUUGAUUCCUUGACUCCCCAGAGUGGCCAUCCUUUUCGGACAAAAGAGUCGAGUGAUACUCUGACUUCUCUUCCUCCUUUGGCAAUGUCCAGGUGGUUGACCCAAAUGCUAAUAUGACUCUCGGCAAUAAAGGUUCUUUGUUCUCCAUGAGGUCUCGACAUAUUGGAAUAUCCCCGGAUUGCUAAUCUUAGACAGGUCAGUGAUGUUUCUUCAUUCUUAAAUGUACUCCCUUUUGUGUGUUUAUUUUGAUGCCUUCGAGACUGGCCUCCAAUUCCCUCUUCACCUCUUUUAUCUCGGAGUGCUUUCAUCAUUUGAGGAUUUCUAAUACAAAAUCAUGCCUAACUCUUGGCACUACCUUAUAGCCUUUAUCGAGAAAUGCUUUAAGAUGUAUCCGAGGGUUAAUAUUUCAACAGCCAAAGAGGGUUUUAGGGCAAGCGAGAUUUAGAUUUUAAUUUUAAAUGUGGUUUGACAGCUUAUCCGAAACCCAAAGCCUUUCUAACCACUAUGGAGAGUGCACAAGGACCGACUUGUCAGAUUCCCAUUAUCAUCUUCUAUCAAUUAUCCAAGUUUCUGAAUGCUAAUAGUGAUAUUUCAAUUCCCAGCUUCUUACAGAAGUUCCGAAGGGCUAUUUGCAGCAGAGACCGUGAAGAUGCAGCGUUCCAACAUCCUAGAUGUUUCAUGUAGAGUGCAAUGAUGGCACCUUCAAACCCAUUAUCUGAACUUGAUCUGGACCUGACUCGAACCCAAUGCAGGUCCAAAGUCCAAUCACAAUAGUUAUUCCAUCUAGUUUUGUUACAUGAAACUAGACGCUGACUCGAUUUAGUUUCUUUAUGUAAACUUUAAAAAAUAUAAAUAUUUGUAAUGGCAUUUGUUACCAUGCCAUUACAUUUCAGACAAUAUUUAUAGUGGAAUCUAAUCCUGAACCAAAAGGGAAUAUACCACCUGAUUGUGUGUAUGUAUGUUUUAAUAACAAGUACUUUAUGUACAUGUUAAAAGAAAAAAGAAAGGGGUUUCUGCAAAUUACUGAUAUAUAGCUGCAAAAGUCACAUAUUGUUAGAGUACUUGAAAAAGAAAAGCGCCACUGAACAAAUAAAAUUUCCAUUUGUGAAUUUGAAUCUCACGGAAAAAAUCACAUAUACAUUUGGGGAGAAUAAAUUUUCUAACCUGAUAUCAGGUCCACCUAUUUCUCAUGAAAGCCAAAGGCCAUAAAUUUAUGGAUUUAUAACCAAAGGGUUAUAAAUUACAAUUGGGGAGGAACUAGUGGCCACUGCAGUAAAUCCUCUGCUGCAAAGGCCAUGCUGGGUCUCAACCCCAGAAAGAUAUCUUCAGCUUACUAAUUUUUCCUUGUUGGUAGUAUGGUAUACAGUGGAAUUUACAGUAACUGUCCUUGUCUGUUAUUAGGCCAAAAUCUCCUGAAUAAAAUACCAAUCAUCUGGAUAGUUGUAGAUGAAAGCACGAAGCAUCGUGACAUGGCAAUAUCCCUUCCUACAACUUUGGAUAUAAGCUUCAUUGCAGAUUGGUGGUCAUUGCAGAUUCUUAGGCUCUUCAUAAUCCUUAAAAGUUUGUGUUCUCAGGAGUACUGAUCAACCAAAAAGCAACAAGUCCGUAGCCAUGACUACUGAGAAAUUGCUCUUUCAGAUCCUCGUCAUGGCCAAAACCUGCUUUUUUAUCUUCCAGAGCUUUAAAGCCAUCUGAAAUGUUGCAUCUCUCUGUGGGUGCAAUCAAUUGUCCAACCCAAAUACAUAAAUCUUAUUCAUUGUUUAUCCAGCUAAAUCCUUGCUCCUUUUUCACUCCUUUAUCCUUCAUUAGCUUCCAAAUCUUAGCAGCAUCAUCCCAUCUUCCACAUGCAGAAUAUACACUAGCAAGCACAGAAUAAGCACCACUGUUAUCAGGAUCAAUAGCCAGUAAUUUUUCUGCUGCAAUCUUCGCCAUGUUAGCAUCUUUAUGAACUUUACAAGCAGACAGAAGUGCCCCCCAUGCUAUAGCAUCUGCUUCCAUUGGCAUCAUGUUUAUAAACUCUUGGGCUUCCUGAAGUAAACCAGCACGUGCAAGCAUAUCAAUCAUGCAUGUAUGAUGGCUCUGUGUGGGUUGGAUCAUAUGUUUCGUCUGCAUCUGUCGAAAAUAAUGUUUCCCUUUUGCUACCAGUCCUGCAUGUGUACAAGCUGAAAUAACACCAACAUAUGUUAUAUCGUCAGGUCUCACACCUAUGUUGAUCAUCUUUUCAAACAAGCCUAUAGCUUCUUCUCCUAGUCCAUGUUGAGCCAAAGCUAUGAUCAUUGAAGUCCAUAAAAAAGUUUCCUUACUCUGACAAAUCUGAUUGAACACUCUCUUUGCUCCUGCGAUGCUUCCAGAUCUAGCAUACAUGGUAAUAAGGGAAUUGCUUACAGAAACUGACAGCCCCUCUGAUCUGAUAGCUUUACAAUGAAUCUGCUUGCCUUGAUCCAAGGAUGUCCAGCUGGAACAAGCCUUCAGCAUUGCGGCCAGAGUGUAACUGUUCGGCUUAGGACCUUUGUCAAUCAUCAACCUAAAAAGUUCCAUAGCUUCACUAUUUAAACCAUUUUGCACGUACCCCACAAUCAUAGCUGUCCAAGCAAUAACAUCAUGAUACUUCAUUGAGUCAAAGAUUUCUCUAGCUGGUUGCAAGUCUCCAAGCUUAACAUAACCCUCAAGGAGUGAAGUAAAGGCUAUUACAUUGAGAUCAGAAACCAUGGUUUGUUUGAAGACCCUUCGAGCCAUUUCAACCCCACCGGACUUGGAGUACAUUGAGAUCAAAGCAUUCCUAACCUGCCCAUGACAUGGAACUGCAGUUCUUAAGAUGUGCGAAUGAAUCUGCUUUCCCAGUUCCAGUUUCCCAAGGUAAGCACAAGCAGCUAGAGCACUGGUUAACGUGAAAUUAUCAGGGACUGCAGAUUGAUCAUUAAGCAUCCUCGAGAACAACUCCAGUGCCUCCUUAUUCAAGUUAUUCUGAUUGUACCCUGCAAUGAUUGCACUCCAAGAAACAAUAUUAUGGUCAGUCAUUUCCUCAAAUUUUUCCCGAGCAAGAUCCAUCCUUCCAGACUGAGAAAACAAGGAAAUCAUAGAAUUCCAACUCGAUACACUCCUCAGUGUCAUCCCAUUGAAAACAGCCUUUGCGGUAUCUACAUCACCGGACUUUCCAUACAUGUUGAUAAGGGAAUUGGCGAUAGAAACAACACCACCAAGCCCGAGCUUAACCACAAAAGAAUGCACCUCCUUACCGAAAUCCAACGCCUCAAGGGCCGCACAUGAAGAAAGCACAUUGGUUAAUAUGAACCGUGAUGGCGGAGCCCUGAUCCGAAUCAUGUCAGAAAACAUGCAAACCGCCCGUUCAAAUUGACCCAUUAGAUUCAGUCCAACAAUCAUUGUGGUCCAAGAAACCGAGUCCUUUUGGGGCAUUUUAUCGAACAUAUUGUUCGCCAUGCGAAUCAUUCGAUGUUUUGCAUACAUAGACAAGACCGUAUUCCACGAGAAUGCGUCCUUGAUGGGCAUCUCAUCGAAAACAUGGUGGGCAUCUUCGAAAAUCCCAAACUUGGCGUAAAGGCAUAUGAGAUUGUUGGCAAGGUAGAUACCAAGUUGGAGCCCGGCUUUGAUGACAUGGGCGUGGAUGGAUCUCCCCACGGAGAGGUUCUCCGUCCGUAGGCACGUCUGAAGGGCAGAAGCAUAGAAGUCAGCAGGCGAUGGCUGGGAAGGGAUCGAUUGAAGCAGAUUGAGAGACAUUUGGGCUGAGAAGCACAUGAAGAGAAGAAGCGCGAGAUCACAUAUGAGCGCGGCUUCAGUCCUUACGAAUAUAUAUAUNNNNNNNNNNNNNNNNNNNNAAGUCAUUCAGCUGAUCCAAAAUUUAAACCGGUCGAAAAUAAAUAAAAAAUAAUGAAUUAAAUAAUAUUUAUAUAUAAUUUAAAUAUUAUAAAACAAAAAAUAAUGAUAAAUUAAUAACAAUAUUACAACUUUGUAAUUUCAUCUUAAAUUAGUCAAAAAUUUAAAAAAUAAAAUACCUUAACCUUUUAAAAGUUAAAUUAAUCAAAAAUAUAUCUUUUAAUUACUAAAAAUAGAAAAUGGGUGAUUAAGGAUUCAUUAUAUAUUUAUAAUAUUUCUUAAAAACAAAAUUUUAAAUAAAAUGAACCUAAGUUACAUUGUUUGUGAAUAUUGUUACACUGUUGGUCUAAAUUCACCUUAAAUCGGUAGAAAUAAGAAAAUGGGAAAAUUUGAACUUUUUAAAGGGUUGAAUAUAUUCAAAAUAGAUCUUUAAAAGUGUAAAAAAAAAAGAAGAUCAUUUAUGCCUUCUUAAGACAUUUAUAAGGUUUCAAGAAACUUCUGGCAAAAAAAAAUUAUAACUUCAAGGGUGAUUUCCUUAAAACAUCUCUCUUUUUUUAUUUUUGCCUUAAAAGGCACCCCUAUUUUUCUUUUUCCCAGUGACUCUUCAAAUAAUAUCUAGAAUACCCCUUGCCAAUGGUAAUGAUACUUUUUCCACCCAUUUUUUCGUUAGUUUUGAACCAUUUAUAAUAUUUUUAUUUAGCUCAUUUAUAAUAUUUGUCAAUAAAAUAUUUACGGUAUUUUUAUUAAGGUACUAAAUACACUAUAAAGCUAUUAAAAAAAUACUAUAAGUUAUAUUAUAUUGUGCAUCUUUAGUUAUCAUUGCUUGUAGAUCAUUACCAUACUAUAUUUUCAGGCUUGUAGUUAAUUUAAUUGAGAUUAAGAGUUCAUUUGGAUCAUGUUUUCAAGUGGGUCUAUGGCGUUUUUGUCAUGAUGGUCAGACCGAAUUUUGAUCCCUAUUUGGGUUUGGGUGAUAUUAUUUCUAAAUUAUUAUAAAUAUAUAUUUGAAUUCUAGUAAGCUAUAUAGUUUCUAGUUGUUUUGAUUUUAUUUGAUUUACUUAUAGUAUUUUCUAAUAACAUUAUAAUAUUUUUAAUUGAUGUAGUGAAAAUAUUUUAAACUAUUGAAAAAUAUUAUAAAUUAUAUCAUAUUGUGUCCGUUUUAGUUGUCAUUGUUCAAAGACCAUUAUGAAACCAAAUUUUUAGAUUUGAAGUUGAUCUGAUUCAAGUUAUAGGUUCAUUUGUAUUAUUUAUAAUAUUUUCAAGAAGUCUUGUGAGAAUUAUAUUUAGGUAAUUCAAAUGGCAUGACAUGCUCUUUGUUUUAUUAUUCCAUAUUUUAAUGUUGCAAACACAUGCUUUUAACUCUUGACAAUGUGAAUUUUCAUAUCUUGUGAUGCAAAAAUUGAAGUAUCAACUAGAAAAGCCUAUAUGAUUAGAAUUAAGAUCUCACAGCAACAGCAUAGUUUACAUCUUUAUCUUAGCAUAAGAACUUUGUAUCUUAAUCAUUGUUUAAUCAUCAUAGUUUCCUUUUUUAAUGAAAUUUUGACUAUGUUGUUUACUGCCGCCACAGUGAUCCUGGAAAUGUUUAUGGCAGAUUGAAGGAAAAACUGGACUGCUGAACUGUGUUCACUGCAAACAGCUAAGAAACCAUUAAAACAAAGACAAGAUCCACAUUGUUUAUGAAAUCUUCAUCUUCUACUGAUUCAAAUACACGUGAACUUUGACCCUUAUCAAGAUUACAAAUGUUUAGCCGGCAAUCAUAUACUUUUCCCAACAAUUACGUACAAACAAGAACAACUCCUUAAGACCUCAUCUGGCCAUGUCCAAUGUACAGUUCGGAGGAAAAGACAAUGAUGCUUGUAAAAUAUCAAUCUUAUCUAUCUAGCCUUGUGGUGAGGAGAUAGGAAACUUCUUGCAGGAGUUGUGUUGAGAUCAUGAGUAUGUUUUAGUCAAAGGUUUGCAGAAAUAAAUUAUUUGUUAGAACAAAUAAUUCUUUGGACUGUAUUGAGUGUCUUAUGCGAUUCCAAUGACUCGUGGAAUUCUCAACGCUUUGAUCUAAACAUUCAACACCUUGGAUCACCUCAAACUUACUCCUUUAAACGAGGGAAAGAGCAUGCAUGAAGGAAGACAAAGAGAAGCACACUUCUUCGCUUUCCAUGGACGCUUCUCGUCUCUGCAACUCCAUCACCCUGCAGAUGAGUGCAGCGUCGUCCGCCGGGAGGCGUUGCAACAGCAGCAGCUUCACGUGCAGAGCUCAUCAGGCGAGGAUGGGAAGGCCUGCAGCAGCCAAUUUCUACCAAGUCCUCGCGCUCGAACCGGAGAACGCCGGGGCUGAUGCCGUCAAGAGAGCAUACCGAAGCCUGGCGCUUCGCCACCACCCUGAUGUCUGCCCACCGUCGGGGAAGGAGGAGGCGACGAGGACGUUCGUCGAGAUCCAGAGGGCUUACGAGAUCCUCUCCGAUCCAGUUCUACGCGAGGAGUAUGAUCAUCAGUUGGGGUUGGUUGGUUCAGCUAAGCAAAGAGACCAAAUAGAUGAAGAACGAAGAAGAGUGUAUCCUAAAGAAGUGUGGAUGGAGCAGCUCAGGGAGCUCAAAUCUAGGUCAAUGAGUCGCAUGGGAAAGAAGAAACUGGAGUGCCUGUAAAGACGCACAAAAUGGUAGUGAUCUUUCGGCAAGUUGUAGUGUUCAGAGAUAAGUAAAUGAAGGUGAUAUAUAAUUCCUCUGAGAGAACUUUAAAGCUGCAUUGUGACUUCCUCUUUGAUUCCACGAUAUAUACAUACAUUAGUGCUCGACACAGAAUAUGCACAAUCCUCAUAAACAAAUUAUGAGGGUUUUGGACAAACUGUAUUCUCAUGAUGUUUCUAUCACAUCUCACAUUUUUCUAGAAGGAUUUUGAUCAAAACGAUUUAAUGUUAUUAUAAGAUCGAGGAGUUGCUUAGAAACUUCCUUUCUCGUCUUCUUUAGAGGUAUUCAUCAGGUACUUUAAAGUUCACCUUUUGAUAGCCGACCUGUUCUUUUUUGCUUCGUAUAAUCUUCUCCUUUAAGCUCAUCAGGCACAACGACCCUAAGGUGACUGGGUGAUAAGACUGGGUUGGAUGAUAAAUACUUCAGAUGAUUACCUCGGGAUAACAUAUAUCUACAGGUACUUCGACUCCUCCCAAGUGAAUAAAAUGCAGUGUCCACCUGAGGCAGAUAUCUACCGAGUGUAUUAUUGAGCAGUUCCUUUUCAUUAGUCAGCGACAUAUACAUAUACUUAUUUGUAAGUAAAAAUCUAUGAUUAUAUUAUUAUUAUAUAUAAAAAUUAAUAUAAAAUAUUAAAAUAUAGAUCAAAUUUACUAUACUUAUUUUUUUUAUGUUAUUUAAAAAAUUAUAAUGAUAACGAUCUAUAAGGAAAACUAGACUCAUCUUCUCCUCUCUUUUUAUCCUAUCGCUAAUAUCAUUAUUAGCAAUCGAUUAUAGACUAAAGAGAGAUGGGAAAAUAUUUAUAAUCUCUCAAUAAUUUUUUUUGUCAUUGGGAGGUCUUGUAAUUUUCUAUAGGUGAUAACAGAAGGUCAUGCAACUCGGCCCAUCAGUCCAACCUGCGUCCGAGUUCAAUAGCUCAGCCAUCAGGUUCAGUCUUUGCCCGAGUCAUACAACUUGGCCAGUCGAGCAGCCACUUGGCCCAUCGGUCCAACCUACGCUCGAGUUCAAUAGCUUGGUCAUCAGGUCCAGUCUUUGCCCAAGUCGUGUAGCUCGGCCAUUAGGUCCAGUCUUUGCCCAAGUCAUGCAGCUCGACCAGUCAAGCAGCCACUCGGCCAAUCAGUCCCACCUACACCCGAGUUUAAUAGCUCAACCAUCAGGUCUAGUCUUUGCCUGAGUCGUGCAGCUCGGCUAGUCGAGCAGCCACUCGGCCAAUCAGUCCCACUUGCGCUCGAGCUCAAUAGCUCGGUCAUUAGGUCUAGUCUUUGCCCGAGUCAUGUAGCUCGGCCAAUCGAGCAACCACUCAGCCAAUCAGUCUCAUCUGCGCACGAGUUCAAUAGCUCAACCAUCAGGUCCAGUCUUUGCCCAAGUAUUGCAGCUCGGCUAGUCGAGUAGCUACUCGGCCAAUCAGUACCACCUGCGCCCGAAUUCAAUAGCUCAGCCAACAGGUUCAGUCUUUACUCAAGUCGUGCAGCUUGACCAGUUAAGCAGCCAUUCGGCUCAUCAGUCCAACCUACGCCCGAGUUCAAUAGCUCGACCAUCAGGUCCAGUCUUUGCUCGAGUCGUGCAGCUUAACCAAUCGAGCAGCCACUCAGCCCAUCAAUCCAACCUACACCCGAGUUCAAUAGCUCGACCAUCAAGUCCAAUCUUUUGAUAUGGUAUAUUUUGGCUCUCAGCCACAGGACAAAUCCACCUCCAGCAAGGUGCAAACAUGGUGCCUUGGGAUGAGGGUCGAGCACCACGUCGGACACAUCUAUGUAGAAUCAACACGAAGACCACGUUCCUCCCACGUCGACGGAAGCACACGCAAGGAGGCGUCCUCACAGCAAAUCACGCUCCGAAAAGCUCGGGAUGGCACCACAGGGCGCUAUUCCGCACAUACUGGGGCAGCGGUCGAAUGUAGGUACGAACCCACCGCUCGGGGAGUCGACCGCUGUGUGAAAGCUAUAUACGGUUGACCCUCGAGCAUCAAUAUAAAAGCCCUUGGCCAGCAUUUGGCCAAAGGACGACUUUUGAGAGACAAAUCAUCGGACCACUCACUUAAUCUAUGAGGGGCCAAAGUCGAGAACCCAUCGACCCAGGCCUGUGUGCAGGGGCACAGCAACUCCGGAGCCAACUCAAACCCUCGGCGAAAGCGCGUCCAACCCAACAUCAAGCGCAACCCAACUUCAGUUCGACUUGACCAACAGAAGGAUGUGUUCCCGAGCCUUAAUGAUUCCGGACAUCGGUUAGUGGACCAAGUCGUGCUAACUCUUCGGCCACGAUGUGCGAGUUCACCGAAGACCCAUCGGUGACCCACCUUCCUUUCGGACCUGGAGAGCAGCCCAUCCCCCCCCCCCCGGGAAAUGCUUUACUCAUUUUGCCUGAGGUGUUCCUCUGCUAAAACAAGUAGUGGGGAUAAUGAAGACGGCCGCCCCGCUCAUCCCACAAAAAACAUAUUUGAAGCUUUCGACACAUCUGAAAGCAUUCCAUUUGUGCACGACGCAUCAACCACCUUAGGACAAAAAAAUCAUCUAAAGCUUUUUACAUAUCUUAAAGCAUUCCAUUUAUACAUGAUGUUUCCGCCUAGGAUAAAAAACAUUUAAAGCCCUUGCUGCAAAGCAUAAGGGGGACAAAUGAUAGGAUCAAUUUUUUGGUCAAUCAAGACUCGACACAUUGAAUUCCUCAUUAAACUAAUGAUUACAAGAAUGAUGACCUUCUCCGGCAUGUUUUUAUUAUGUUUUUAUUGGGGACUUACUAAACGGAUACUCAUAGGUUUUUAAUGCGUUCCUACAGAAGUUAUCUUGACCAAUAAAGGGGUUUUGCUAGAUAAACUCUUCAUGUAGUCUUUUUGCAUGCAGUUUUUGCAUGAAGUGAGAUAUAUGGUACGAGCAUCUUUUUUACCUUCCAACUGAAGUGAGACAAGGGAUAAGAAACGAGAGUUUUCCUUUGUUGAAAAAGUUCUUCCAUUUUAAAUACUCAAUGAUCUUCCAAUUCUACUCAAAAAACGAAUUAGCAAAAAACGAAUUAGGUUGGGUCAAUAUCAUCAAGUCAAAUCGAUGAUUAUCAGACUCUAUGAUGCCCUCAUCUCAUGCCCGUGAAUUUUGAUGGCAUUAUCUAUUGGAUAGCCUUCAUAGAUAAUUUGAAGCAUGUUCUAUCCAAAAGCAUGCAAAGUCUUUGGUAACAGCCUUCCGUAUAAAGUUUGAUCCAUGACUUAAUAACUUAAACUUUUAUGUUGAGUUGAUGUUCGUGACAUAUGUUAAUCUUGAUCAGUUAAAUUAAGAGUUAUUACUAUUUGAUUUUUGUAUAAUGUAUUAUUGUAUAAAAUUUGAUAUGAAUGCGUGAAAAAAAAGAUUGAGUCAGUGAUUUGACUGAAUGAAAAUUUUCAUAUGCUACACUACGAUGGGUAGACGAGAAUGAGUAAAGAUAUACCAUAUUAUGAUCCAUAGAUGUAGAUGAGUAAAUCAUCGGUGUAAAGUAACGCCAAAAUAUAAAGUAAUACUAAAACUCGACAAUCUAUGGGAAGCAGAGAGAUGUUCAUAUAAUAACUUCGAAUAAAAUAAUUUAAUAAGAGGUAAAAUCGGAAGGUGCCAUCAGCGUUGCUAACUACUAAAAUUUUAAAUAUAAAAACCCAAACUUCUAAAAUUUUAAAUCCUCUAUUUUUAUUUGGUCUAAGGAAAAUAUCCAUCUCAUUUAUAUAAUUAACUUAUAUUUGUUGACAUAAAAUAUGCAUUACUAUUUUAAGGAAUAUUUUGUAAUCUUAAAAUAUAGAAAUUAUUUUUCAUUGGUAAUUAUUUUGACUCGGAAAUUUCAUUUUUUUAGCUUUCAAUAAACAGAAAAAUCAAGGAUUUUGGAUCAUUGCUCCCUCAAUGUAUUGUGAUGAGGCCGUCAGUAACUCCAAAAGAAUCAUAAACCACCUAAAAGAAUAAUUUUUCUUCUUCUUUUCUUGCGUUUUCUUUAUGUUUCUGAUCAAAAUAACAGUACUUUUCUUACUCUCGACUGCUUAACCGUCCUGCGUAAUGACCUUGAGGUUUAUUGUUGUGGCCCACUGACAACUCCAGUAAAAAGCCAGGUAUAUCUGGAGUAGCAAAAGGCGGGGUAGGAAAAGCGAGAUUUUUGGGUGUGUACAUGUAAUCUGAGCUAAUAGCUCGGCGUACCGGCUCGGCGUGAAUCCUAAGCGACGCGGCUUGACUCUUUCGCUUCAAAUCAACGGCCGAUCAUCACCGAUGAUUGUCGCUCGCACAUUCAUGACCCUCGGAUGUGUGUUCCGCCACACGGAUCAUAUUAGCCUAUUUAUAGGUCCUCUCUCUCUCUCUCUCUUCACCGUCGUCGUCUCUUCUUCACUUAUUCUCGAACUCUCUGUCUCGCGGGCUAAGAAAUCCUUUGUAGAAGAAAGAAACUCGCGGUGGGUCUCUUCUGCUCCGUUUUCUUUCUUCCCCGUUUUUCGACGCUUGGAUUUUGUUGCGAUCUUUAGGGUUUAUGUCGCGAUCAGCUGUGUUGUUUCUGUUUCUUCUUUUAAGUCCCUAUUUCUUCUUUGAUGCGAUGGCAUUGCGGAUCAUUUCAUCAUCUGGAAGUGACCUCGGGACCAUGUAUUGCCGAGUUGAAAACAAAAAUCUGUUUUUCCCGUGCGGGGUCUGUUCUUUUUUGGCGCUUGGUGUUGCCUCCACGCCAAUCGGGACCGGGUUAAUGAUUUAGAAAAUUUCUUCGUCGAGAAUUUUGUGUUCUAUAAACAAAUCGUCGUUACCAUUGGUUCCGUUGCGUUGUUUUGUGUCGAAUCAUUGUCUAUUUCUCUCUAGGGUUUUUGGAGUUGAUUAAGGGGUGAAGGAGAUGGCGAGCUUCGGUGGUCUUAACACAGCUGCGGCGGGAAAUGUGAACCCUAACAAGUCACUGGAGGUACAAGGCUCUGCAUCACUCUUUUCAUUGCCUCAUCGGAAACCAUUCUUCCAUUCCUUUUCCGUUGUUAAAACAUAGAGAUACCAGUAGAAACGUUAGUAAGAGUUGUUUAUUGACUUUUGCCUCCGUUGUAGCUUAGUGAUGGUUUUUAUUGUCGCUACAGGUGCUUCCUUCCCCGAGUGAUUCGGUUUCUAGCCUUAGCUUCAGUCCCAAGGGAAAUUACCUGGUUGCUACUUCUUGGGAUAAUCAGGUCAUUCCAAUCGAUUUCAAACUUUCUAUUGAGAAAGAUCCUCCAUUUUUCUUGGACUUUACGUUCAUAGUAUCUUUUUCUCUUCCAUUUUGUUGAUGUACAGGUUAGGUGUUGGGAGAUUAUGGCUGGCAGCAGUCAACCUAAGGCAUCAAUAUCACAUGAUCAUCCAGUAUGUUGAUGGUUUUUUAGCUUUCCUCUGCCAGUAAACAGUUGUUGCGUCAUGAAGUCACUAUUUUCUUUGUUUGCUAACAAAUGAAUUUUCUACAUCAGGUCUUGUGCUCGACUUGGAAGGAUGAUGGGACAACUGUGUUUUCAGGAGGCUGCGAUAAGACAGUCAAAAUGUGGCCUCUGAUGUCUGGUGGGCAACCUACUACAGUUGCUGCACAUGAUGCACCUGUUAAAGAAAUUGCCUGGAUACAACAGAUGAAUCUCUUAGUUACAGGGAGCUGGGACAAGACACUCAGGCAUGCAACCCUGAUUACAAUAAAGUGGUGCCGUUUCAUGUCUAGUAAUUUUGCUAGUUAAUGUUCAACAUGGAAUGCACAAUUAUAAGUUCUUAUGAAGAUGUCCAUUUUAUUAAAUAAACGAAGUUGUUCCUGAUAUGUAUACAUAUUUAAUUGCUUUAAUUAGCUGUUAUGGGAAUUGAAAGAUAUGAUUCAGAACUUUAACUGCUUCAGAAGUGAGUAGCAAUUUGAAAGAUAUGAUUCAAAAACUAGUUAUUCAUCUUGACUACUACAAGGGGAACUCUGAACUUGAGUUUCAGUGACAGAAGUUUUAUAUGUCAAGGGAAUGUCAACAUGGAAUGCACAAUUGCAAGUUCCCAAGGAGAUGACAUACAUUAGUAGGAGAUCCAUUUUAUUUAAUUGGUGAGGUUGUCUCUGAUAUGUAUAUUUAAUAGUUUCAGAACUUUAUGUUGUUUAUGUGAGUAGGAAUUUUCAAAGAUAUGAUUUGAAAGCUAGUUCCUCAUCUUGAUACCUGCAAAAAGAACACUAGAUUUGACUUUCAGAAAUAAAGGUUUUAGCUGUCAAGCGAAUGUUAACAUGGAAUGCACAAUUACAAGUUCAAAAAUUAGUAGGGGGUCCAUUUUUCUUUAAUUUCUAAGGUUGUUCCUGAUAUUUAAUUAUGUAUAUGGGUUUAAUUGUUUCAGAACAUAAUGUUGUUAAUUUGAGUGGCAAUUUUUAAAGAUAUGAUAUAAAAGCUAGUUCCUCAUCUUUAUACCUGCAAAAGUAACUCCAGACUUUUGUUAAGAUUUUAUUAUUUAACUGAAACUAUUAUCUUCAAUCUUUACUGGUAUUUUUCAUGACCAGUAUGGUAUUUUGACAUGUUCUUGCAGAAAAAUAAUAAUCAUCAAAUACUUUGAGGAUUACAGAAGUAGGAUUAAGCAUUUAUUUGUAAAUCUGUAGGUGCUUUUCUGAUUAUGAUGCAAUUAUUCUUUCUAAUGCCACUUCCAUUAGUUGUUUUGUAUGCAGCUAAAGUGGCCUAAUAUGCAGCUAUGCAUGUUUUCAUAUGACCACCUAAAAUAUGUUUUAUGCAACCUCAUUACUUUAUAUAUAAAAUCUAUUGCAUACAUGUUGUCGACAUAAGCGUGAGAAUAUGAUCAUGUGAUUUAUAUUUUCUUCAAUAUUGCUCCUACUAUUACUAUUAUAUUGGAAAUUAGGAACUAUAAUCAUAUAAUGUAUGACCCAUGAUUGACAUUUUAUCACUUGAACCUUUUCUCUUUAUUGGUUUCUUAAAACUUACCACCUGAAUAAUACUCAAGUUGUAAUUAAUGUCAUCCUGUCCCUGAUUCAAUUUGAUGCUCUUCUAUAUUAGUUCAUGCUAAGUUUGUUGAAUUUUCUGCAAGAUUUACUUUAUAAUCUCAUUCUUGUCCUAUAAAACAUGUAAUCAGAUACUGGGAUACUAGACAAGCCCAACCAGUUCAUACCCAGCAGCUUCCUGAGCGUUGCUAUGCUCUGACAGUGCAGUAUCCUCUGAUGGUUGUUGGAACUGCUGAUCGACAGCUACAAAUUUUUAACUUGCAAAACCCUCAGGUGAUUCUUCUUUAUUCUGUGUUUCAGGAUGAAUGUGUUUGUUCAUUAUAAUUAACAUAUGCAUAUGACAUGAUAGAUCUGUAUCUUUUACCAUGACCCUCAAGUAAAUGCCAAAUUGCUGAGUUAAAAGCUCAUAUUCAUUGGCCAAACCUAAGCUACAGGUCUAAAUCUGAUACUAUUCAUAAAACCUAUAUCUUUCUUCCUAUUUAAUAACUUCAUAUUGAAUUGCAAAUUUGCAAAUUACCUAUUUCCCUAAACAUGUUUUGGCUACUCUGUGGCAUGUGGUUCAGCAUUUGGUAUUCUACUCUAUAUUCGGAGUAUGUGACCACAUGUGCAGGUCACAUGAAUAUGAAACUUAGGUGCACUGGUGGACUCUGUUUUGUCUUGAUUAUUACUGCUUGUGUUGUUACAUUGCUUGAUUACUAUGAUAUGUGGUCUGCGACUUUGUGAUUACUAUUACAUUAGUAACUUACAAAUUUUCAUGUUUCUUAGAAUUUAUAACUUAAAAUUGUUCUUAAAUGAGUACAAGUGUGAUCCAAUAAAUUCUUGGUUUUUGUAGAUUACAUUUUUGCCUAUUAAUAAUUUAAACUUGUUAAUUGUUCUUUAUAACUUAGCUAUAUACUGAUUUGAACAUUCUAAUAUGAACCACAUAUUUAAUAUGUGUCUUAUACUAUUCCAAAAACAAAGGUCGCAAACUGCACGUAAAUUAUGUGGCAACCUUGUUUUUCCACAUAGUUCAGAUUUGAAGAUUCUAAUAUGAACCACAUAUAUGUCUAAUAUGUGGUCUUAUUACUAUUCCAAAAUCAGAAGUUGCAAAAUUGUGUAUGAAUUAUGUGGUAAUCUUGACUUCCCACGUAGCUCAGCUGCUUUUUAGAACAUAGUCUAUGUUAGCCAUACCCUAUGUGUGAUGCCUCAAGAUGCAUGGGUAUCACUAUAGGAGCUGUAAUAUCCUCAAUUAAAACCCAUGGUUGAAACAGUAGCAUUGUUAUUCUUUUUCCCCUAAGACUAAGAUGACAUGUACUUUCAAGAGAACCAUAUAUAGGGAACUGAAGGUGCUGUUAACAUGCAUUGCUUAACUGGCAUGUUAGUUUUAGGCUGGUUCAAAGUAUGCUAGUGGAUAUUUUCAAAUCAAAUCACCUAUUGAGCUUCUUUACAAUGAAUUAUUUUAUUGUUUAUUACUUAUUAGCAAUCCCAGUGCCAAAUUUCUUUCAUAUAUACUCUUCAUCUGCGCUGUUGAAACUUGCACAGGAAGGUUCAUGUUGAUAUUUGCUUUUGUACUAUUAACAGACAGUAUUCAAGACCAUAACAUCACCUUUGAAGUAUCAAACAAGAUGCCUUGCUGCAUUUCCUGAUCAACAAGGGUUUCUGGUAAUGUUUCACUAGAAGUGUUAGCAUAUGGGUCCAUUUUCUCCUUGCCAUUUAUGCUUAUUUUACUUUUUUAAUUUGUAAUGCUUAUUUUUGUUCCCCUUUCCACACAAAAAGAAAAAGGUUCAGUCACCUUUGUUAUUUUGCCAAUGUCAUCCGUGGCAAAGACCCCAUUGCUUGUCCAAGCUCACAAUUGCAUGAAAAGGAAUGAUUUUUUGCUUGUUGCUUUGUGCUGAUCAAGUGACAUAAGGACCUCACUGUGAUCUUUGGCUCAGGAGUAUGUGAAUUGCAACCAUGUUUAGUGUAAAGAUUCAGAGGAACUUGUGUUAACCCUGUUUCUUAAUAAUUAAAAAAAAACAGGUCUUAAAAAUUUAUCCGCUGCAAUCUGAUUUCAAUUAUUCAUGUUAAUUUUGUAUUCUCAUGAAAACAAUGUUGCCUACUCUGUUAGUAGGAUGAGGAAGUCCAUAACCUUCAUUUAUUUUGGAUAUAAUAUUAAAGUUGAUUGCAGUGUGGUGUUACAGUUUUUGCAUUGUUAAAAGAAUACUGAAAAUGAACAAUAGGUUUCCUGAGGCACUUCUCUUAUUAAUUUGUUCUGGGAUAUUGUUUCAACUAACACUACAUUUUCUCAUGUAUUAGACUCUUGAAAUAUAUGGCCUGACCUGUAGAACCUAUUGGAGCUGGAAUCAGGGGUCCUGGAAUUAAUAGACUUCUGAUUGGACCCCAAGUGAAUAGACAAUGAACACAAAUCAUCUCAUGUCUGUUUUGUUGUUGGUUUCCGCAAAAUAAAAUGUGGCAUGAUCCGUUAGCCUCAUUUCUUGCACCAAGUAGCAGCAAAAAGGCCAUGCUAAUAUGGAAAUGAAACACUGAGAAUCAUCUUUGAGGAACUAAAAAUGGAAAUAUAUAUUGCUGAAAUUUGUCUGUCAUAUGAUACCAUUUUUCUUAUGCUGUUUUUGCUAGCAUUAGGGAACUGUUUUAACGUGCCUACAACUGUGCUCAGAGAGUGUAGUCCUAAAAGAAUUGCCCCUUUUUCCAGUUAUUUGUCUUUAUUCUAUAUUUUUUAGGACAAUAAGCACCUUGUAUACUCUUUCAUAUUUUCUGACAGACUUCCUGUCUUAUUGUAGGUUUUCUCAAAAAAAAAAAAAUUCAUAUAAUCAAUCCUGAAACUUUGUCCGCUAUGUUAUUUAUCUGAGUAUAUUUUUGUAUUUAUUCUCCACAAUCAAUUUUUCUCAAUCUAAGCAAACUAUCCCAAGCUUGAAAGCCUAGUGGACUAGGAGAGGGGGGAGGGUGCGGGGUUGGUGUUUGCGGGGACGGGUUGGGUUUAAGUAUUAGGAUUUUUUUAUUAGGGCAAAAACAUAAAAUGAAAAAACUAGCUUACUAGGCAGUCAGCCUAUUUGCAUGUGGGCCAUCCAAAUUGGGUGGUUUUUGCUCGGACCAAUAUGUAUUGCCUGUUAAACAUUGUUUUUGGCAUAUUAGCUUUCAUUUGGCUUUUGGCUCCUAUAUGGAGGAUUGAUGUAUUAUUACCAAAGAAUAAUUAGAUCCAUAACAUCUAUCUUUAACUUUGUCUGAAUGCAUCAAGAACAACUUGGUUUGCAAUGUUUUUACUGUUUUGUGAAUGUGAUUGAUUUAAUUUUGGUAGAUUUUUACUAAAUCCUUUAUUUUUUGGCGUAUGCUCUUGAAGGUGGGAUCCAUAGAAGGAAGGGUGGGUGUACACCAUCUUGAUGAUGCACAGCAAAGUAAAAACUUCACAUUCAAAUGCCACAGAGAAGGAAAUGAAAUUUAUUCUGUGAAUUCAAUGAACUUCCAUCCUGUAAGAUUCUACAUUUGCUUUCCCUGUUUCUUGUUACACUACUACAUCUCUGCUAUGCAAAGUGUAAAAGAGAUUUGGUUAAUAAGCAGUAUCAGUCAUCAAGGUUUCAUGAUUUUCUUUAAUAAGUAGUAUCAGUGACAAAGGUACAUGAUUUUCUUUAAUAAGUCCUUUUAGUUUGAUUUUCUAAACUUUUAAUUUAUGCUGUCACUUUUCAUUUGUUUUAUAACUAAUGUUGAAAAUUAACAAUGGAUCUUGACUUUUCCAAUUUAACAAUGAAUCUUGGCUUUCUGAUGGUACUCAGUUUUUGCUGCAACAAUGAUUUGCCCGUUAGUGUAGUCAUUGUCUGAUAUACUCAUCUGAAGCAGUUACAUACAUGGAAAAAGACAUUAUUAUCUUUUUCAAUACAUGGAAAAAUAGGUAGUAAGUAAUGGACAGCAAAAUUGUAGGCAAUGAUUUCAAUAGGCGCUCGGGCGAGGCGAGGCCCGAGCGCCUUGCUUCAUUUCCAGGCGGCGUGCCUGGGCGCUCGCCUGAGCCCAGGCGUCGGGCGCUUCGGGCAAGUGCCUGGGUUAAACCAUACGAUCGAACCAUCGCUCGCCCGAGCGCAGGUGUCGGGCGCUUCGGGCAAGUGCUCGGGUUAAACCAUACAACUAAACCUGCAUUUUAGGUUUGGUUCGGUCUUCGGUGCUUUAGUUGGUUCAAUCGAACCAACUAAAGCACUUAUAUUAGCCUUUUCUUGUGACUUUCCCAACCCUAAUCUUGCUCUCCGCUCCCGCUGCCCCUGCUCGCUACCACUAUCGCCGCUCCCGCUGCUACUGCUGCCACUGUCAUCGCUCGCCUCUCUCGAUCCCACUGCCAUUGCUCGUUGCUACUGCUGUCGCUGUCGUCGCCACUAUCGUCGCUCCCGCUGUCGCUGCUCACUGCUACCACUGCCAUUGUCACCGCUCGUUGCUCUCGCUCCUGUUGCCGUUGCUCGUUGCUAUCGUUGUCGCUACUCUCAGUCACCCUCGGUCUUCCCUUACACUCUUCUCACUAUAUUGUUAACAAUAUAUUAAUAGUAUACUGCUAACUGUAUACUAAUAAUAGUAACAGUAUUUGUAUUUAUUAGAUUAAUAAUAUAUUAUUUUGAUUUUAAUACUGUUAAUUUUUAUUUAUUUGAAAUUAUUGUUAAGUUUUAGGAUAAAUGGUAUAUUUUUAUUUAAAUAAUAUAUUUAUUAAUUAUAUUAUAUAAUUUCAUAUUUUAGCGUCUCGCUUCGCUCGGGCGAGCGCCUAGUGCUUCGGACGUUUUUGGACCUUGGCGCCUAGUGCUUUUUAAAUCACUGAUUAUAGGUUGAAUCAUGUUGAUGGGAGGCAUUACAUUGUCUCUUUCUGAUGAUUGGCUCUUCUUCGACUCUAUAGGUAUAUUAUCCUGAUUUAGAGAGUUGAUUCUAAUAUUCGAAAUUAUGUAUGUCUCAGUAUAUUUCUUUGUCUUAAUUUAUGCAGAACGAAAGUAGAAUUGUUUAUACUGUGCACAUUUCUCUCUGUGUCAAUAUUAUAUCAUUAGUUUAAGAUCAUGAUACAUACAUUAAAUAAAUUGUAGAUAAUAAGAAUGUUGUUUGAAGUGUCAGUAUGAAAUCUAUCAUCUUGUACAUUUCACAUUUGGAUCUUAUGUGAAAUAUUUUCUGUAACAGGUUCAUCAUACAUUUGCUACUGCAGGCUCUGAUGGUGCUUUCAAUUUUUGGGACAAAGACAGCAAACAAAGGCUGAAGGUCUGCUCAUUCGGAGGACACUUUUUAAUUUGCACGCUCUCUUUAUUCCUUGGUUUCUGUAUUGUGCAUCCUGGACUAAAUAAUCUCACAUCAUGAUUCUUAUUAGUUGCAUAAUUCUUCUGCAUUCUUGAAGUUUUCUGGUACCAUUGUAGUUCCAUAAAUCUUUUUCUUAGUAUCUUCCACACACACCAUAGUCUCCACCUGCUACUUGUCUAUCCCUAUCCUCUAAAGUUAUAUAGUAUCAAGGAUGAUAUGCCAUCUGCUGAUAGAGUACUUGUGUAAUGCUAUAGAUAAGUAUGAACAUGCAUGUAACAAUAUUUUGAUUUGCCAAUAAAGCAAUCAUAGGCUGUCUUAAAAUGAUUAUCAUAUCCUUAUGGCCAUGAUAAACUUGGUGAAUAUGUGUGAUCAUCAAAUUUUUAGUUUGGAGAAAUCACAUUAUUGUUGAUCGAUGACUAGAUGGUCCAUUUGAUCCAUUUAAAUUUUGAAGACUGAGUUGACCUUUAUAUUCGUAUAAAUACAAAUACAUGCAUUAAUACAUGUAUAAUUUAUCAUAAUUCAAAGAUAAAUGUAAUUUAUCAUGGUGUUCUUUAAAUGGACUGAGGCAGUUCUUUAUUAAGUAGAAUGACACAUGGUGAGGAUGGCAUAUUAUAUAACCAUGCCAUGUCAUAAUGGGAUUUAUAGCUGGUUGUUCCUACCACUACCAGAAUGAUAAAAGAUCUAUUUUAUGUUUCCUGCUUUUCUGAACUGAGUGUUUUCUUGCUAAAUUUUCAAUGUCCUUUGUUAUUAAUACUAUCUUACCUAAAACCAGAUGUUAACACUUAUGGGUUUGGAUCUACUUAGGCGCUUAGCAAAAUGAUAGAUUUGACAAUUACGCUAUUUUAAUUAGUGACAUUGAUGUUGUCACGAAGGUUUGACAUCCCGGAUACCAGAACCGUGCUGGUCCAUGGUUAGACUGAUAUUGAUCCAGUCCGUGCCAACAUACUUGCAUAGUAUGCCGACAUGUAAGAUUGUACCAAGAAGGGAUGUUUCUUUUACCCAAGUUGGCGGCACUUUUAGGCUAUUUAGAACCCUAAGCCAUACUUUAAAAAAAAUUGGAUUGCCCAAAAAGGGGCAGUCGGCGUCCUGGUUUAUGCUUGGACUGAUAAAUACUGGAUGAUAUGAACCAGUCCGGGUGAAACCAUAAACUAUGAUCAAACCCAAGGUCUGCCAUACCGAAGCAUACCGCCCAUAUUGGGCGGUACGUAUCGGUCCGACAAGUUAUCGGUACGCGGAUCGCCCGGUAUCGUUACAGUGCUACAGUACUAUACUGUAGCACUGCUACAGUAUGAAAAAUAAAAAAUUAUUCGGUACACCAGGGUAUACCGCUCGGUACAUCCUGAUAUAUUGCCCGGUACACCGGUACCAUACCAUACCGAGCCCAGGUCGAAACGCUGGUACGGUACAGUACAAUGAACCUUGAUCAAAACUAUAUUAAUAAUAUACAAGUUUUAAGCUACUUGGUGUGGAGACCUUUUCUGUUGUUUCCUUUUAUUUAUACUUGUUAAAGCCAUUGCUUAAGAAGGACAGAAAUCCACCAAUAAGAAUAAAAUAAUAAUUAAAUAUUAAUCAGUGGUAAGUGUUGCAAGGGGACAGUGAAAUGUACUAAUCAGUGUGUUGCAUUGGCUGUUUUUAACAUUUUAUUUCUAUAGAAGCAUGGUGUGUUGGACAUUUUUGAGCCAGUCUACUAGCAAAACAAGUGUUAUUGCUUUUAUUAGUUCAUGAUUUCCAAAUCUGAUAGAUUUAUAGGAAAUAGAGGUAUUUCUUAAUCUAACAGUGGAAAACAUUAUUUGAAUUCACUUGGUUGAUUGAUCGAAAAGAAUAAAUUUGUAAAUUAUAUGAGUUGUGAAGCAUUUUCUAGUCUGCCUGUAGUUCAUCCGUAUGAGUUAUAAGGUUUAAUUUAACUGUAUUUGUAGCUAGUUACAGAAGUUUGUGAAAUCAUUUUUCUAUGUACUUAAUUACUUGAUGCACGUCUUUUCACAAAUCUGCAUGUUUUUUAUUUAUUUCAUGCCUUUGGUUCCUUUAAGAUAUUGAUAUAAGACAAUUUUCUCAUUCAUUUUUUGUAAUGGUGUUACCAAUAUUAUCCUCAUUCCUCCGUCGAGUCUUCCAAUCUUGAUUGGUUGUCCAAAUAGAAUAAAUUUCAUUAUAUUGUUCCACGAAGUAUACAGUGUGUUUAGGUAAUAAUAAUGAAUCAUACCUUUUCUUGAACAGGCAAUGGCUAGGUGCCCACAUCCUAUCCCUUGCAGUACUUUCAACCAUGAUGGUUCCAUUUUUGCCUAUGCUGUAAGUGGUAUAUCAUGUUUUUCUACCAAUGUUUUUGAGACAAGGAAGUAUAUCUUUUGAGUAGUUAUUGUAAUGAUUGCAUUUGGUUGUUCUUCAUGCAAUAUUUUUCGUAUUAUGUCUUUAUGAAAGUGCAUCAAGAUUGUGAUCUAAUAUUUUGCAAGUAUAUAAUUAUUACAUGGUCUAAAAUGCUUAAAAUUAGGUCCAGCAAGUGCAUCUUACAUUACGUGGACUAAUCUGGUCAUCACAAUCUGUCAUACAAAUGGCUUGAAGCUCAACAUAUUACCCAGGAAUAUUCUUUAGUCGGCAUGCCCAAUUGUUGGCUCUAUGCCAUGAUAUGCUUCUUGCAUUGUUCCUUAGUAGUGAUUUCCUAAUUGGGUUCACCAAUCACAUGUAUAAUUCUACUCCAAUUUGAUGUAAAUUGUCAAACAAAGCUCCAUAGGCCCAUUGACCCAAGAACUCAAUAGAACAAGGUUUUAACCAUGUGGUUCAAUUACUUGAGCCUGGGUUUGUGAAAGUAAGUCCAUCCUAUCUAUCAAACCACUAAGGUUGAUCUUGAGGACUACUUAGUAUGGAUUUUGAUUUUUAGUUGACAUGUCUGUAGCAGUAGUGCUCGGAAGGGUACUCCAUUUAUUAUUAUCAUAAAAUUCUCUACCUUAAUGAUUCUUGAGGCUAAUAUUCCUACCAAUGGUUGUUGGCUCUAUUGAUUCUUUUCUUUAAUCAUUAAUGGGUUAAUAUCCCAAAUCAUCGAAGAUCAUCAUGUUCUUAUACCCUAAAAAGGGCAGUCUGAUGCACAUGAAGCUCCCACAGAUGCAGAGUAUAGGAAGAGUUAAUGUAUUUAUCCUCCUUGUAAAUGCUGUUCCUAUCAAAUUUUAUUUGGACAUCUUUCAGGUGUGCAGCCUCAUUCUCUUCAUAUACUUAUUAUCCACCAUACCAACUUUUGGGUAUACUGAGCCUAAAUUGAGAAUAUACCUGGUCUCGUAGCCAGCUGAGAAGUUCCUCUCCAGUAAGGGAGAUGAUAAAAGUUCCUCGCCAGUUAAUGAGGCUGUACUUGAUGUGCUCUGUACUCUUUCUGAAAUUUAAUGAAAUUAACUAUUACAAACCUUAAUUAAUUUUAACAAUCCUAUGAAAUAACUUAUUUGUUGUGGCACUGCCUGUUUAACUACCUGUCUAAAUUUGCAAACAUUUGGAUGUCCUGAGUGUUGAUCAUAGAGUAUUCUGAGCUACAAGAUGUGAUAAUAUUCAACCGAUGCAGGUCUGUUAUGACUGGAGCAAAGGUGCUGAAAAUCAUAAUCCAGCUACAGCAAAGACAUACAUCUACCUUCAUAGCCCUCAGGUCAGUAUUAGAUUCAGUUUUGAGACCUCUUUCGUCCCUUCAAUCAUUCAAACCUGUCUAUGCUAAGACUAUUGUUAUCGCAUCUCAUCCACUGUGAUUAUUUACAAUAGUCUUUAUACAUGUGGCGGUGGCUAUUCCCUUUCAUGCACGAGUUCUUGCAUAGAUGUCUUCGUGUGCUCUGUACAUAAUAUGUGUUCCGCAAACUUGCAUCAAUCGACCUAGCAAUUAUAUUGUUUUUCCAACAUGACAAAUUACCAUAAAAGAAGAAAGUUUAGAUAACAUGCUGCGGAAUGUUGGAGGAAUUUUUUAAUGCUGCUGACAUAUGCACCCCCUUUGAUUUUCAAAACAGGAAUCCGAGGUAAAAGCAAAGCCACGUCUUGGAACUGGAAGUAGAAAGUGAACCUUUCAAGUCCUCGAGCUACAUUGGUUUUUUUGUCGGCCGUGCUGUGUAUCUGUUUGCUUUCUGCACGCUUAGUAUCUGUCAUGUUUUUUAAAUACAUAUGGUGGUGAAUACUCCGGUGCUUUAGUAACUAGUGAACUUUUUGGUUCUUAUUGAUUUAGGAGCUUCACAUUUGUAUGUACAUCUCAUCAUAAAAGAUGACAGGCCGCAUGUGAAAGAAUCAGUCAUCAGUUCUAGCAGUGAUCAAUUUAGCUCAUUCUCCUACCUGUAAUCUAUGUAUCUAAAUGCUUGAUUGCUGAUAGUUAUGCUUAGUCACCAAGCAAAACACUGUCAACAUUAAACUUUUCAAUUAUGAUAUGAGGGAUGAGAUUUUUUGGGGUUCAGGUCUUGCUUAUCCGUGAAAACUGGGUUUGGGUUUGGGUUUGAUGGAAUAGUUGGGUUCCAAGUCCUUUUAGUUGGGUCAGGUUUAGGUGAAGUGAAAUUUAAGGGUGCUCCAUUUGCAUUAUAACAUGAA
RNAcentral lists this long non-coding RNA (29415 nucleotides) under Musa acuminata (dwarf banana). RNAcentral's name for it is "long non-coding RNA (MACU_LNC003580)". The record is from RNAcentral. Lineage: Eukaryota; Viridiplantae; Streptophyta; Magnoliopsida; Zingiberales; Musaceae.